Molecule: ribosomal RNA, 418 nt
Filed under: uncultured prokaryote
Also listed under: 1 other name
Description: bacterial SSU rRNA
Rfam family: Bacterial small subunit ribosomal RNA
Source: RNAcentral
UGGGGAAUAUUGCACAAUGGGCGCAAGCCUGAUGCAGCAACGCCGCGUGAGUGAAGAAGUAUUUCGGUAUGUAAAGCUCUAUCAGCAGGGAAGAAAGGCUCUUCGGAGAGAUGACGGUACCUGACUAAGAAGCCCCGGCUAACUACGUGCCAGCAGCCGCGGUAAUACGUAGGGGGCAAGCGUUAUCCGGAUUUACUGGGUGUAAAGGGAGCGCAGACGGCAGUGCAAGUCUGAUGUGAAAGCCCGGGGCUCAACCCCGGAACUGCAUUGGAAACUGUACAGCUUGAGUGUCGGAGAGGUAAGCGGAAUUCCUAGUGUAGCGGUGAAAUGCGUAGAUAUUAGGAGGAACACCGGUGGCGAAGGCGGCUUACUGGACGAUUACUGACGUUGAGGCUCGAAAGCGUGGGGAGCAAACAGG